This 414-nucleotide ribosomal RNA is filed under the name uncultured microorganism. Its description in RNAcentral is "bacterial SSU rRNA". It matches the Rfam family "Archaeal small subunit ribosomal RNA", at positions 459 to 872 of the family's 1478-position model. The record is from RNAcentral.
CAGCCGCCGCGGUAAUACCGGCGGCCCGAGUGGCGGUCACUAUUAUUGGGCUUAAAGCGUCCGUAGCCGGGGUGGGAAGUCCUCCGGGAAAUCUGGCCGCUUAACGGUCAGAAUGCCGGAGGAUACUCCCAGCCUAGGGAGCGGGAGAGGCCGAGGGGAUUCCCGGGGUAGGGGGGAAAUCCUAUAAUCCCGGGAGGACCACCUGUGGCGAAGGCGCUCGGCUGGAACGCGUCCGACGGUGAGGGACGAAGGCCAGGGGAGCAAACCGGAUUAGAUACCCGGGUAGUCCUGGCUGUAAACGAUGCGGACUUUGUGUCGGACAAGCUAUGAGCUUGUCCGGUGCCGGAGGGAAACCGUUAAGUCCGCCGCCUGGGGAGUACGGCCGCAAGGCUGAAACUUAAAGGAAUUGGCGGG